RNAcentral lists this ribosomal RNA (235 nucleotides) under uncultured bacterium. RNAcentral's name for it is "partial 16S ribosomal RNA". It matches the Rfam family "Bacterial small subunit ribosomal RNA", at positions 118 to 347 of the family's 1533-position model. The record is from RNAcentral.
UGAGUAACCUGCCCUUAACUCUGGGAUAAGCCUGGGAAACUGGGUCUAAUACCGGAUAUGACUCCUCAUCGCAUGGUGGGGGGUGAAAGCUAUAUUGUGGUUUUGGAUGGACUCGCGGCCUAUCAGCUUGUUGGUGAGGUAAUGGCUCACCAAGGCGACGACGGGUAGCCGGCCUGAGAGGGUGACCGGCCACACUGGAACUGAGAUACCGGCCCAGACCUCCGUACGGGAGCAG